Molecule: ribosomal RNA, 390 nt
Filed under: Triticum aestivum (bread wheat)
Lineage: Eukaryota; Viridiplantae; Streptophyta; Magnoliopsida; Poales; Poaceae
Description: partial small subunit ribosomal RNA
Source: RNAcentral
AUGUAUGCAUUUGAUAUGGACCUUGAAAUUCUGCAUGUAUUUGACCCCAAACGUACGUGCGCCGGCAUACGCAUACUCGAAAGGCUACAUCAGGCAAACUGUGAAAUAUUGCUGGAUGGACUUCUAAAAUGUGUUGAAGCUUUCUUUGAAGGCUGGGAACAGGAUAGAUCAAGAUGGAAAUUCAAAUUCCAUGACUAUGUUAAUAGUCCUUGCCGCACAGAGGACACACCGGUCUAUGAUUUUCACUACAUUCUAUCGUUUGAUGGGAUGCAUGUACAAGGGACAAUUGACACGGAAAGUGUCGAUCAUCUAAGGAAGAAACUGAUGUACCUGGUGCUGAGGAUGGAAAGUAAUCUCGGUUAUCUCGAUCCAAACAGCGAGGAGGACUGA